AUGCCGAGGGAAAAGAGGAUUUUUUGGAGUUUUUUGGUGUUUUUUUUUUUUUUUUUUGGGGGGGGGGUUAUUCUUGCUUGGGAGAAAAGAAAAAAAAAAAGGAGGAGAAAAGAGAAUAAAAGGAAGGAAAAGGGGGAAAAAAGGAAUGUAAAGGGAAAAAGGGAAGGAAAAGAGAGAAAGGAGAAGAAAGGAGAAAAGGGAAAAAAAGGAAAGGGAAUAAAGGGAAUGCAGAAAAAAAGAGAGAAAAGGAAAGAAAAAGGAAAAGAGAAAAGGAAAGAAAAAGGAAAAAAGAAAAGGAAAAGGAAAAAAGAAAGAAAAAGGAAAAAAGGAAAGAAAAAGGAAAAAGGGAAAGAAAAAGGAAAAAAGGAAAGAAAAUGGGGGAAAAAAGGAAAAGAAAAGGGGGAAAAAAGAAAAGAAAAUGAGGAAAAAAAGGAAAGAAAAGGGGGAAAAAAGAAAAGAAAAUGGCGGGAAAAAAGGAAAGAAAAUGGGGAAAAAAAGAAAGAAAAUGGGGGGAAAAAGGAAAAGAAAAUGGGGAAAAAAGGAAAAGAAAAGCGCCAACCCCCCCGAUUUUUUAUUUCGGGGGCCGCCCUUGCGCUGUUUCAAUCGCGCCCCGCGCAGAGGCGCGCAAGGAACUCCCCUGGAAUUCCCGGCGAUGCUCCCGAUCCUCCCCCGCGCCGGGAGCCGGCUCCUUGUCCCGCAGGGGGGGCGCGGAGCGGGCGCUGCGCGGGGGGGCGCGGAGCGGGCGCUGCGGUGCCGCGGAGCAGCGCUAGGUGCCGCUGCCGCCCCGCCCUGCGCCGCGCUGCCCCCCGCGCCCCCCCGCGCACCCUCCGCGGGGCCGGCGAAAAAAAAAAAACCCAAAAAAAAAAAAAAAAACAAAACCAAAACCAAAAAAAAAAAAAAAAGGAGGAAAAAAAAAAAAACCAGGAAAAAAAAAUCCAAGCGAGGCCGGGGGUCCGGGAUUUGAGGAGCGGCCGCCGCCUCCUCCACGUGACGGCCCCAUAA
This 1002-nucleotide long non-coding RNA is filed under the name Corvus moneduloides (New Caledonian crow). RNAcentral's name for it is "lncRNA (ENSCMUG00000018327.1)". Lineage: Eukaryota; Metazoa; Chordata; Aves; Passeriformes; Corvidae. The record is from RNAcentral.